UUUUACUCUCUCUCUCUUGGAGCUGGGACAUCUUUCUCCUGCCCUUGGACAUCAGAACUCCAGGUUCUCUGACCCUUGGACUCUGGAACUUACCCCCAUGGCCUCCCUGUUCUCAGGUCUGUGACUGUGGACUGAGAAUUAUACCAUGGGCUUCCCUGGUUCUGAGGCCUUUGAACUUGGACCGAGCUGCACUGCUGCUCCUGUGGUUCUCUAGUUUGCAGAUGGCUUCUAGAGGGAUUUCUCAGCCUCCAUAAUCCUGUGAGCCAAUCCCCGAAUAAAUCCCUCUCAUAUGUCUACAAUAUAUCCUAUUGGUUCUGUCUCUCUGGAGAAUCCUGACUAACACAGAAGAAUAUUGCAGCAACACAGGUUGAUGUCAAGCUUGGCCUGGUGACUUACUUCGGGCAAUGAAACAAGGAUGAAAAUGAUGUGAGAGCCAUUUGUGAGCACAGCCAUCAUGUGGCACUGUCCUCUCUUUUCCCUCUUCCACAAGACUAUGUAACAUACCAGGACUCUUUUCUUGGAAUAUCUACUACUACUUGACUGAAGGAGAUCUGGGGAACUGUCAACUAGGGAGCCUGCCUUCCCACCACUGCAUAGAUCAUUUGACCCUAAUGAGGACAAUGAGAGUCUUACUCCUAGAAAUCUGUACCUUAAGCAGCGACACCUAGGGAUGGAAUCCUGUGCACAGACAUGAAGCAGAUAGAGUUGAGCCAUCCAAUGAUAGAGCAUGAGAGAGAGAGAGAGAGAGAGAGAGAGAGAGAGAGAGAGAGAGAGAGGAGUUCUUAGCUUAUGUUACCUAAGUCCUCAGAGCCUUGGUUUCCACCUUUUCCAAGUUGUGAAUGUUUCUUUCUGGGCUGUGUAAUUACUCUCUCUUUCCAAUAAAUUGCUUUUUGCUUAUAUUAGCUGAGUCAAUGUCUGUUGGUUAUAAGCAAAAAAAAAAAAAUGCUGGAUAAUGUGGAUGGGCUCAGGGCUCAGUUAGCCUUCAUUCUGCUUGGAGAGGCUUGGAAGCCAACACUCUCAUUUCUCAGAUUCUCUUCUGGAUGCAAAUUGAGUCUUACCAAUUUAAUGCAUUAGUGUAAGAUUUAGAAGCCCUAAGUGAGAUAGAAGACUUUUUCCUGUCCCUUUUUGGUUGUCUAUGCUGACAAACAUGGCCGUGAAAAUCUGAGCUUUCUCUGCAGCAGUGACACAAUAUCCAAUCUCCAGCUUCCUUGGUGAUGAGGAAAAGUAGUGGUGGUGGCAGCAGCAGUGAUUACUUGAUCUGAUCUCAUAAUCCCUGCAUUAUACCUCUUUGGCUACCCAGGAGCAGUGGCAGCAGAGAGGUAGCAGGUUCUUGAACCAGGCAUAGCUCUGAUGGUACCUUAGUGGUAGCAGUUUUGUAUUAUUCUGCAAUCAUAUUAGAGACCCAGUCUACAACCUGCUCCUUCCACACAUCUAAUGAUUUUGUAAAAGAGAGGUAUGCUUUUCUUCUGUGAGAAGGUUACUUUGGAAUGAUGAUCUUAGGCCCUUGAAGUUGCCCAUCUAUCUGAGAACCUGCUGAGCAUGAUUACAAAUCAUGAGUUGGACUUAGGUUUUUCCCAAGCUGGCUGCAGAGACAACUUGUCUAGGCUUCCAGAGAACAGCCACAGCCCACAGAGAAUGUGUGUUUACCCAGACCUUUUCCAUGGUUUACUUCUGAAAAUUGGUUCAACCACAUGGGAAUCUAGUUAGACUCUUGGAAUUAUAAUCUUUGACUGGUACAUAACCCAAACAUUUUUUAUAGGAUUUAGAAAUCAGAUUGGAGCUUAGAAAAUGAAAGAAGAACAGUAAGAGUUCAAAUCCAAACCUCUUUGAGGUCCACCUGAAAUCUACCUUGUCAGGCAUACGUUCCCACUACCAAAUCAUCCAUCUUUACUAGAGGUAAUAGCAGGAAGCAGAAUUGUAGUGAGACACGGUGAAAGAUAAUUUCAAUCCUCAUACAGCCCACUUGGGAGGUAAAAGAAUAUAAAAAUUUCCUUUGUGUGUGACCUCCUAUUAAAUUAGGCAUAUUCUACCCAGGUGCUUAGGAGGAUAGAUAUUUCUUGCAUAUAGUUGAUUUUAUACCAUACUCCUGUAGUAUUUCAUCUGUGAACGAAGAUUAGUGCUACGGGCGAUAAAUUGAAGUGUAGGUUGAUACAUAAACACUAUCUUUAGGAAUCUGCUAUUAUAUCUGAAUUUCUAAGUACACAAAGGGAAUAAUUAAGACUGAUGCUUUAUUUGAAAAUGCAUUGUUUUUCUUGUUAAGAAUAAACCAUAGUAACUGAUAGAAAGAAAAAGCUUACCCAUAGUAGAAAGCCAGAAAAAAACUUGCUAUGCAAUGAAGAACUUACCGUUUCUAGUUCUAACAUUCGGUAGCUGAAAGCGGAUCAUUGCUAUAAAGAAGUAUUUACCAAUUUUAAAAGGUCUUGGCCCAUCAUAGCUAGUGUUAGAUUUGGAAUAUAGCUUUUGUUGCCAAGGUGACAAACACUUAUAAAUAUAACACAUCUUCUAAUGUGCUUUUAACUUGGUAUUUUUAUGGCUUUUAAAUCAGAUACCAUUAGCAAAUAUAUUAGGUAAUUUAGCUGAAAGACCAUUUUCCUCUAACACUUUUUGUUACAUUUCCCCAGGUAUUUCAGUAAAUGUCUGUUGUGACAUUCUGCUCCUGCUAGGCUUCCAACGUAAGGGGAUACAUAAAGUACAUCUGAAUUUCAGAAGCAUCAACUAUGUUCCAAGCACUGGAGAUACAAAGAUGAGCAAGUCUUGGCCCUCAAGAAGGACAGAAUAUCAGGAAAGAGGCAGGCAAAUCAAUGAAGUAUUACAAAAGGAUGAUAAACGCUGAGUCUGCACACAAAAGACAGGGUCAGAGAAGAGUCCCUAAAGAGGAAAGACUCUGAUAAUUGUUUUUAAAGAAUCAAGAUGGAAAAGAAGGAUGUAUAUUUUAUUUAAACAGCAAAAUUCUUGAGAGUCGGUGUUUUGUAUAAUCAAUCUAGAAUUGCUGUGUCCUUACUGUGUGAUCUUGAAUGCUGCUCUGUGCCUCAGUGACCCUCCUAUCUAAUGUGGGUAAUCAUCCUUGCUGCCCGCAUGGCCCACGGAGAACUACAGAUAGGAAUACUGGGAUGCGGGUGGUGUAGCCAUUUAAAUUCUUUGGAUAAGAGCGACACUAUGCAAACACACAGCAUCCUUAUUAUUCCAAGCGGUAGCAUUUUGG
Microcebus murinus (gray mouse lemur) is the source of this 3202-nucleotide non-coding RNA. The record is from RefSeq and is a predicted model, not a curated record. Lineage: Eukaryota; Metazoa; Chordata; Mammalia; Primates; Cheirogaleidae.